CGCUUAUCUUUACAGGGAGCAGGGCAGCCGCGGCCAGCGAGGGGCAGGAGCAGGGCGGAGCCGACCCCGCGCUCAGAUGGGGCAAUUCCCCUCCCCGUAGCGCCGGCACUUCAUCACCUUCAGUGAUGAACUGAAUGCAGUAGGAUGUCAUGAUCUCAUCAUUGUAAGGUAAAUGAAGUCCAAAGGGUGCCACUGGUGUUCACAGGGGGAGGCCUGGCCUUGCCCUGGGGAGGAGAACUCACCGAUUUCUGCUGAGCAUCGUCCUUCCCCGUGGGAGCAGGGAUGGUUUCUGAGUAACAAAAUGCUGCCUGGGAGUUUUUGUUGGCGUGUCUUUGGUCCUCUGGGAUAUAGCCAGGAGGUGAAGGUGCUGAGCCCUCAGCACAGCGUUGGCAAACAGGUUGGAAAGGGGCAUGGCCGGGAAGGUGGCAGCUUCCUGUGGCCACUGCAGUCCCAGAGUGAUCACAGCAAGGAAGAGAGGAG
This is a long non-coding RNA of Neopsephotus bourkii (Bourke's parrot), 480 nucleotides long. RefSeq lists it as uncharacterized. The record is from RefSeq and is a predicted model, not a curated record. NCBI's taxonomy places the organism in Eukaryota, Metazoa, Chordata, Aves, Psittaciformes, Psittacidae. The transcript is spliced from 4 exons.